AACGUAUUUAUAUAAUGCACUAUAACACUUUUUGUUUUUGAGCAAAUCACACAACUGGCGGCGGGAGGGAUCACUAACUUCCAUUAUUUCACUUGCUAAUAGUAGUCUAUUAAAAAUGAAAAUUUGGUUUUGGCAUUUAAAAAAAAUAUGAUUCAUAUCUGCGAUCUCGUUAGUGCAGAAAGAGCAAACAUUGUUAUCUAUAAUAUUAAGUUUAGCGAGGUGUGCGGGUGUAGUGUUGUGACCAAAACGCAAUCUGUUGAUUGUGGUAACGAACUCACGACUAACUGUAUCCAACUCAUAAUCUUCAUACCAGGGUCUUCUCAGUAAAUUUUCUUGUAUACUUCCAUACCAUUUUCCUUUAAGUUUUUGAUCUUCUUUCCAUAAAUUUGCCCAUAUAUCUUUUAUUGAAUUAUUUAUAUUAUAAUAAUAAUCGGUCAUAGGAACAUGUACCACAUUUCUGACAUUAAGAGUGUUAAUCCCUUCAUAUGCAGCUUUGUCUGCUAUUUCAUUACCAGUAAUACCUUUAUGUGAGGGUACCCACAUAAAGGCAAUAGUUACAUCUUUCUUAUACAACCGCAAGACAGUAUCUUUAAUUCAAUAGAGAAUAUAAUUGGUUUUAAAAUUAUUAAGAGUAGCAUGCUUAAGACUAUUUAAAAGACUCAAAGAGUCUGUCAAAAUUAGAAAAUAUUUACAAUUGUUUAUAGAAGUAAUCGAUUUUAAAGCUGCAAAAACUGCAUAUGCCUCUGCUGUAAAUAUGGAGCAGUUUUUAUCUAGAACAAAGCUUUGAGCAACAUCUUUUUGGGAAUCAUAUACCGCACUUCUCACAAAAUCAUUGCCUUUACUGCCGUCAGUAUAUAUAGUAUAGUACUUGUUAUUUUCUUCUUUGAAAGCCAGUAAGUCUGAAUUAUUUUCAAUUGAAUUUGAUAGAAUCGUAAUAGGAUGUGUGAUACAACUGUAUGAAUGAGUGUAACACGACCAGUGAGAAUGUUUUUUGAUGUUUGAAUAAUGAGAUUGUAUUUCUGUAAAGAUCUGGCACAAAGUUGGAGAUGUACCUGUCAGAAGAUCAUUUGGUGAAGUGAGAGGACCAUCUAUAUUGAUUGGGUCAGAUAUCAGAGAAAUGAAGCUAUCGGCACAGCUUCUUCCUUUACGGAAGCCAUAUUGAAUAUGUGGUAUGACAUUAUUGGAUUCUGCAUACCAGUCAAGUCGAGAUUUUACCAUGUUUUCAAAUAUUUUUCCAAUACAUGAUGAUAACGAGAUUGGACGAUAGGAACUAAUCUGUUCAGGGUUGGAGCGUGGUGGAAGAGGAGGGAACUCAUCAUUAUCUUUUGUAAUGGCAACGCUUGCAUACGUUAUUUUAUUUUUCUUUUCUAAUAUUUUCUGCAUUUUUAUAGGACACAAUUUAGAAAUAGCUAAAUGAGGUCCAUUGCAAUUAGCACAGCAAAUCUCAUUUGGCUUACUGCAGUCUUUAUAGGAAUGUUCACCUGAACAAAUAGAGCAACGCUCUUUGCCAUUACAAAUUUUUGCAAAAUGGUUAAAUUUAAGACAUUUAAAACAUUGUUGCAGAGGAGGAACAUAUUCAAAUAUUCUCGUAAAAAAAAUAAGUCGUAUUGGACACUUUCAGGAUAUAACCUUUUAUAAUUGGGCUUGCGAUAUGCCAUAUAAGAGUCUUUCUCACCACCUUCGCCGCCAGCAUCAGAAACAUCUUGGAGAUCUUCUAACCGCCGUCGUGGUCUCUUUUUUGAGGUGGGCGGGUCAAACCCGCCCCCCUCGUUUCCUUCCAUUUUAAUUAUUUAUUCACUAUAUUUAUAUUUAAUUUGCCAAUUUAUACUGUUAUUUACAAAGAAAUAAUAUUUAUUUUAAUUAAAAUACAAUUUUGAAAAAAAAUUGAA
Molecule: long non-coding RNA, 1889 nt
Organism: Pieris napi
Lineage: Eukaryota; Metazoa; Arthropoda; Insecta; Lepidoptera; Pieridae
Exons: 4
Source: RefSeq, a predicted model, not a curated record